GACAGAGGUCCCAAGCGUUAGGCGGAAUCACUGGGCUUAAAGCGUGUGUAGGCGGAUUUGUAAGUACCUUGUGAAAUCCCACGGCUCGACCGUGGAACUGCUUGGUAUACUGCUUAUCUUGGGCCAUCUAGGGGCGAGCGGAACAAACGGUGGAGCGGUGAAAUGCGUAGAUAUCGUUUGGAACGCCAAUGGUGAAAACAGCUCGCUGGGGAUGUGCCGACGCUGAGAUACGAAAGCCAGGGGAGCGAACGGG
Molecule: ribosomal RNA, 253 nt
Filed under: uncultured bacterium
Lineage: Bacteria
Description: partial 16S ribosomal RNA
Rfam family: Bacterial small subunit ribosomal RNA
Source: RNAcentral